UUUAAGAGAAUCAAAAUUGAACGAAAAAUGUGGUACAUAUUAACAGUUUUAAUUUUGUUAGUCCAUUCGGUAUUAACAAUUGAUUUAUUACCAUGUACGGAUGAAGUCAACCCAGCCGAGAUGGCUUUGGCACGGCGAUUGCUAGAACAAUCUACACCACCUGGAUAUAGAUUAAUCGAAGUAGAACCUAUUAGUCAAACAGGCAGGAACCCUCAUCGAUGGAUAGGGCAUUUUGAACGUCUAGAUGACGUUUACAAUACUGAUUGUCAUUACCUGGCUGCAGCGCGAUCGGCAUUCAGACAAUUGUGUCCCCUAGGAUCUGAAAUUAGCCAAAUUGGAGUUUGCCGUGACCCCCAGAAAAGAGCCAUAUUAGUACAGUAUCUAGUGAACUGCCGUUGCAGAAAGAUUAUCCGAAGAAGAAGUACUAGAUCAACAAUUCAAUAUGUAAGAGAAAGAUCCACAUGUUCGGGAAUAUCAAAUUAUCAUUCGUAUAAAUAUUAAAUAAAUAUUAUUAAAAUUA
Aethina tumida (small hive beetle) is the source of this 520-nucleotide long non-coding RNA. RefSeq lists it as uncharacterized. The transcript has 2 exons. NCBI's taxonomy places the organism in Eukaryota, Metazoa, Arthropoda, Insecta, Coleoptera, Nitidulidae. The record is from RefSeq and is a predicted model, not a curated record.